CGAUUCUCCUGCUGCGGAAACUAAGUCACAUUGUCCUACUUACCACAGCUACGGAUACGUCUGUAUGAAAAUCCAGGAAAAGGUCUGUCGUGGAUUGCACCUCUCAUCCAGAGGUUAGGUCUGAGUCUUUAAUAGAUCAGGAUUUAACCCUUAUUUCUUCAAAAAAAAAAAAAUAUUACCAUUUUAAUAGUGCAUACAUUUCUUAUACACAAUAAAAAGUUACCACUGGAUUUGAAGUAGGAUGACCAAUAUUUUCUAGUUGAAUCAUAAUGAUAGGUGAUUUUUUUAACACUGGUCAAAUCAUCGAUUACACUACUGUACAAUAUCUAUUCUAUUAUGGUAUUAAAGUAGAAAAUUUGAAUUUAGAUAAAUAUACAUAUGUAAAUGUGUAAAUACAUUUCUCAACACGAUAAAUGUCAUUUCAGAAAGAAAAAAAUUCUUAAUAGAAACAAAACGAAAACGUUAUAUGUUGAUUAGUAUUAAUACUUUUCAACGUUCUAUUUCAUUAGUAUUCGGGUGUUUGCGAAUUUAUGAAUCAUAACUUUUCACAAGCGAAAAUUAAAUUAAAUGC
RNAcentral lists this long non-coding RNA (571 nucleotides) under Brassica napus (rape). Its description in RNAcentral is "long non-coding RNA (BNAP_LNC003076)". Lineage: Eukaryota; Viridiplantae; Streptophyta; Magnoliopsida; Brassicales; Brassicaceae. The record is from RNAcentral.